CUGUCAAGUCGGAUGUGAAAUCCCCGGGCUCAACCUGGGAACUGCAUUCGAAACUGGCAGGCUUGAGUCUUGUAGAGGGGGGUAGAAUUCCAGGUGUAGCGGUGAAAUGCGUAGAGAUCUGGAGGAAUACCGGUGGCGAAGGCGGCCCCCUGGACAAAGACUGACGCUCAGGUGCGAAAGCGUGGGGAGCAAACAGGAUUAGAUACCCUGGUAGUCCACGCCGUAAACGAUGUCUACUUGGAGGCUGUGCCCUUGAGGCGUGGCUUCCGGAGCUAACGCGUUAAGUAGACCGCCUGGGGAGUACGGCCGCAAGGUUAAAACUCAAAUGAAUUGACGGGGGCCCGCACAAGCGGUGGAGCAUGUGGUUUAAUUCGAUGCAACGCGAAGAACCUUACCUGGUCUUGACAUCCACAGAAGUUUGCAGAGAUGCGAAUGUGCCUUCGGGAACUGUGAGACAGGUGCUGCAUGGCUGUCGUCAGCUCGUGUUGUGAAAUGUUGGGUUAAGUCCCGCAACGAGCGCAAC
Molecule: ribosomal RNA, 523 nt
Filed under: Salmonella enterica
Lineage: Bacteria; Pseudomonadati; Pseudomonadota; Gammaproteobacteria; Enterobacterales; Enterobacteriaceae
Description: bacterial SSU rRNA
Rfam family: Bacterial small subunit ribosomal RNA
Source: RNAcentral